GACGAACGCUGGCGGCGUGCUUAACACAUGCAAGUCGAACGGAAAGGCCCUGCUUUUGUGGGGUGCUCGAGUGGCGAACGGGUGAGUAACACGUGAGUAACCUGCCCUUGACUUUGGGAUAACUUCAGGAAACUGGGGCUAAUACCGGAUAGGAGCUCCUGCUGCAUGGUGGGGGUUGGAAAGUUUCGGCGGUUGGGGAUGGACUCGCGGCUUAUCAGCUUGUUGGUGGGGUAGUGGCUUACCAAGGCUUUGACGGGUAGCCGGCCUGGGAGGGUGACCGGCCACAUUGGGACUGAGAGACGGCCCAGACUCCUACGGGAGGCAGCAGUGGGGAACAUUGCACAAUGGGCGGAAGCGUGAUGCAGCAACGCCGCGUGCGGGAUGACGGCCUUCGGGUUGUAAACCGCUUUCGCCUGUGACGAAGCGGGAGUGACGGUAAUGGGUAAAGAAGCACCGGCUAACUACGUG
Molecule: ribosomal RNA, 468 nt
Filed under: uncultured bacterium
Lineage: Bacteria
Description: partial 16S ribosomal RNA
Rfam family: Bacterial small subunit ribosomal RNA
Source: RNAcentral